CCCUAUUAUUUUGGAAUGUUAAUUUUGUGUGUCUGAGUAGUAUUAGUUAUGUUCUUGAAACUUAAAGAAUUUGGCGGUAUCUCAUUCCUUCCAGAGGAAUCUGUCUCGUUAUCGAUAGUCCACGUUGGACCUUACUUAGUUUAAUUUGGUUUGUAUACCGCCGUUUAUUGAUUAUCCUUUUAGGGUUAGUGUAAUUUUCUGGUUUCUUUAUUUUGGUUUAUUUCAGGUCAAGGUGCAGCUUGUUUCUAAGUGAAUGAUGGAUUACAUUGUUAUUUGUUUAUUGGAUUGUUGAUUUUAAUAUUGGCAUGAAAUUGGAUUUGGUUGUAAUGAUUUGUAGACUGUUAUUGUGAUAGUUGGUUCUGAGAUAUGCACACAUCGCCCGUCGCUCUCGUUUCGUUGUUAAUGAGAUAAGUC
This 414-nucleotide ribosomal RNA is filed under the name Spinitermes sp. EC1. RNAcentral's name for it is "partial 12S ribosomal RNA". The record is from RNAcentral. Lineage: Eukaryota; Metazoa; Arthropoda; Insecta; Blattodea; Termitidae.